Long non-coding RNA from Epinephelus fuscoguttatus (brown-marbled grouper), 375 nucleotides. RefSeq lists it as uncharacterized. Lineage: Eukaryota; Metazoa; Chordata; Actinopteri; Perciformes; Serranidae. The transcript is spliced from 4 exons. The record is from RefSeq and is a predicted model, not a curated record.
GUCAGGUGGUGUCAGGUGGAGUCAGGUGUGGUCAGGUGGAGUCAGGUGGAGUCAUGUGUGGUCAGGUGGAGUCAGGUGUGGUCAGGUGGAGUCAGGUGUGGUCAGGUGUGGUCAGGUGGAGUCAGGUGUGGUCAGGUGGAGUCAUGUGUGGUCAGGUGGAGUCAGGUGUGGUCAGGUGGAGUCAGGUGGACUCAGGUGGACUCCGGUGUGGUCAGGUGGAGUCAGGUGGGGUCAGGUGGAGUCAGGUGGACUCAGGUGUGGUCAGGUGGAGUCAGGUGUGGUCAGGUGGAGUCAGGUGGAGUCAGGUGUGGUCAGGUGGAGUCAGCUGGAGUCAGGUGGAGUCAGGUGUGGUCAGGUGGUGUCAGGUGGAGUCAG